AGAGCGAACGCUGGCGGCAGGCCUAACACAUGCAAGUCGAACGGACCCUUCGGGGUUAGUGGCGGACGGGUGAGUAACACGUGGGAACGUGCCUUUUGGUUCGGAAUAGCUCCUGGAAACGGGUGGUAAUGCCGAAUGUGCCCUUCGGGGGAAAGAUUUAUCGCCAUUAGAGCGGCCCGCGUCUGAUUAGCUAGUUGGUGAGGUAAUGGCUCACCAAGGCGACGAUCAGUAGCUGGUCUGAGAGGAUGACCAGCCACAUUGGGACUGAGACACGGCCCAAACUCCUACGGGAGGCAGCAGGUGGGGAAUCGUUGCGCAAGUGGGCGAAAGCCUAGGACGCAGCCAUGCCGCGUGAAUGAUGAAGGUCUUAGGAUUAGUUAAAAUUCUUUACGACGGGUCGAUAAUGACGGUACCCGGAGAAGAACGCCCGACUUAACUUCGUGCCAGCACGCCGA
Molecule: ribosomal RNA, 455 nt
Filed under: uncultured soil bacterium
Lineage: Bacteria
Description: bacterial SSU rRNA
Rfam family: Bacterial small subunit ribosomal RNA
Source: RNAcentral